AUAUCAUUGUAAUGGAGAAGGAGGAAGCUAGCAUGGCGGCCUAUGUCUGCUAACCAAUAGCAUGAAAAAUAGGCUUUCUCUGAAACAUGCAGCAGUAUCUGCAAUCUAGAAGAUGGACAAAAAUAACAUUUCUUCACAAACUAAAAGUUUCAUUUCUUUUUUGAAACAUGCAGCCUAAAGCUCUCAAGCUACUAGGGAUGGAGGAGAUGGGAUAGUUCUCCCUUUGCUGGGUCCUCCGGCGUAAGAUCUCAUGUUCAAAGGAUGAUGAACCUCCAACCAAAGG
Molecule: non-coding RNA, 283 nt
Organism: Podarcis muralis (Common wall lizard)
Lineage: Eukaryota; Metazoa; Chordata; Lepidosauria; Squamata; Lacertidae
Source: RefSeq, a predicted model, not a curated record